This 397-nucleotide ribosomal RNA is filed under the name uncultured bacterium. RNAcentral's name for it is "partial 16S ribosomal RNA". It matches the Rfam family "Bacterial small subunit ribosomal RNA", at positions 523 to 918 of the family's 1533-position model. The record is from RNAcentral.
AUACGUAGGGGGCGAGCGUUGUCCGGAAUGAUUGGGCGUAAAGGGCGCGUAGGCGGCCUGUUAAGUCUGGAGUGAAAGUCCUGUUUUCAAGAUGGGAAUUGCUUUGGAUACUGUUGGGCUUGAGUGCAGGAGAGGUUAUCGGAAUUCCCGGUGUAGCGGGGAAAUGCGUAGAGAUCGGGAGGAACACCAGUGGCGAAGGCGGGUAACUGGACUGCAACUGACGCUGAGGCGCGAAAGUGUGGGGAGCAAACAGGAUUAGAUACCCUGGUAGUCCACACUGUAAACGAUGAAUGCUAGGUGUAAGAGGUAUCGACCCCUUUUGUGCCGGAGUUAACACAAUAAGCAUUCCGCCUGGGGAGUACGGCCGCAAGGUUGAAACUCAAAGGAAUUGACGGGG